GAAGAUAUUUAGCACGAUAAACUGUUACAAGUAAUGUAAAGAGUAUUGUUAGCGUUCGGCAGGACUUGAGGAGAUUCCUGGUAGGAAUACCGAUCGUUGAGAGAUAAACUAAUAGGCGCUGUCACCGCCCUAAAUACCGGCGCUAGCGGAAACUUCGUACAUACCGGCGCUAGCGGAAACUUCGUACAUUCCGCGAUCUAACUGCACGUACAUUCCGCGAUCUCACUGCGCCGUCCAGACGGUGCCCUAAUGUCUAUCACUUAGCUACCGAAUAUGCAU
This 279-nucleotide long non-coding RNA is filed under the name Volvox carteri. Its description in RNAcentral is "long non-coding RNA (VCAR_LNC001081)". The record is from RNAcentral. Lineage: Eukaryota; Viridiplantae; Chlorophyta; Chlorophyceae; Chlamydomonadales; Volvocaceae.